RNAcentral lists this ribosomal RNA (680 nucleotides) under Micrococcus sp. J921. RNAcentral's name for it is "bacterial SSU rRNA". It matches the Rfam family "Bacterial small subunit ribosomal RNA", at positions 51 to 744 of the family's 1533-position model. Lineage: Bacteria; Bacillati; Actinomycetota; Actinomycetes; Micrococcales; Micrococcaceae. The record is from RNAcentral.
ACACAUGCAAGUCGAACGAUGAAGCCCAGCUUGCUGGGUGGAUUAGUGGCGAACGGGUGAGUAACACGUGAGUAACCUGCCCUUAACUCUGGGAUAAGCCUGGGAAACUGGGUCUAAUACCGGAUAGGAGCGCCUACCGCAUGGUGGGUGUUGGAAAGAUUUAUCGGUUUUGGAUGGACUCGCGGCCUAUCAGCUUGUUGGUGAGGUAAUGGCUCACCAAGGCGACGACGGGUAGCCGGCCUGAGAGGGUGACCGGCCACACUGGGACUGAGACACGGCCCAGACUCCUACGGGAGGCAGCAGUGGGGAAUAUUGCACAAUGGGCGCAAGCCUGAUGCAGCGACGCCGCGUGAGGGAUGACGGCCUUCGGGUUGUAAACCUCUUUCAGUAGGGAAGAAGCGAAAGUGACGGUACCUGCAGAAGAAGCACCGGCUAACUACGUGCCAGCAGCCGCGGUAAUACGUAGGGUGCGAGCGUUAUCCGGAAUUAUUGGGCGUAAAGAGCUCGUAGGCGGUUUGUCGCGUCUGUCGUGAAAGUCCGGGGCUUAACCCCGGAUCUGCGGUGGGUACGGGCAGACUAGAGUGCAGUAGGGGAGACUGGAAUUCCUGGUGUAGCGGUGGAAUGCGCAGAUAUCAGGAGGAACACCGAUGGCGAAGGCAGGUCUCUGGACUGUAACUUAC